This 759-nucleotide ribosomal RNA is filed under the name uncultured bacterium. Its description in RNAcentral is "bacterial SSU rRNA". It matches the Rfam family "Bacterial small subunit ribosomal RNA", at positions 1 to 796 of the family's 1533-position model. The record is from RNAcentral.
AAAUCCCCCAAAUCCCCUUGAGUUGAUAUGGCUCAGAGCGAACGCUGGCGGCAGGCUUACACAUGCAAGUCGAGCGGGCGUAGCAAUACGUCAGCGGCAGACGGGUGAGUAACGCGUGGGAACGUACCUUUUGGUUCGGAACAACACAGGGAAACUUGUGCUAAUACCGGAUAAGCCCUUACGGGGAAAGAUUUAUCGCCGAAAGAUCGGCCCGCGUCUGAUUAGCUAGUUGGUGAGGUAACGGCUCACCAAGGCGACGAUCAGUAGCUGGUCUGAGAGGAUGAUCAGCCACAUUGGGACUGAGACACGGCCCAAACUCCUACGGGAGGCAGCAGUGGGGAAUAUUGGACAAUGGGCGCAAGCCUGAUCCAGCCAUGCCGCGUGAGUGAUGAAGGCCCUAGGGUUGUAAAGCUCUUUUGUGCGGGAAGAUAAUGACGGUACCGCAAGAAUAAGCCCCGGCUAACUUCGUGCCAGCAGCCGCGGUAAUACGAAGGGGGCUAGCGUUGCUCGGAAUCACUGGGCGUAAAGGGUGCGUAGGCGGGUCUUUAAGUCAGGGGUGAAAUCCUGGAGCUCAACUCCAGAACUGCCUUUGAUACUGAGGAUCUUGAGUUCGGGAGAGGUGAGUGGAACUGCGAGUGUAGAGGUGAAAUUCGUAGAUAUUCGCAAGAACACCAGUGGCGAAGGCGGCUCACUGGCCCGAUACUGACGCUGAAGCACGAAAGCGUGGGGAGCAAACAGGAUUAGAUACCCUGGUAGUCC